GGUGGUUCCGCCAUGGACCUCAAG
RNAcentral lists this non-coding RNA (24 nucleotides) under Arabidopsis thaliana (thale cress). The record is from RNAcentral. Lineage: Eukaryota; Viridiplantae; Streptophyta; Magnoliopsida; Brassicales; Brassicaceae.